This 813-nucleotide ribosomal RNA is filed under the name fungal sp. BGX6. Its description in RNAcentral is "eukaryotic LSU rRNA". It matches the Rfam family "Eukaryotic large subunit ribosomal RNA", at positions 87 to 929 of the family's 3401-position model. The record is from RNAcentral. Lineage: Eukaryota; Fungi.
CGGCGAGUGAAGCGGCAACAGCUCAAAUUUGAAAUCUGGCCCUAGGCCCGAGUUGUAAUUUGUAGAGGAUGCUUUUGGCGCGGUGCCUUCCGAGUUCCCUGGAACGGGACGCCUUAGAGGGUGAGAGCCCCGUACGGUUGGACACUAAGCCUCUGUAAAGCUCCUUCGACGAGUCGAGUAGUUUGGGAAUGCUGCUCUAAAUGGGAGGUAAAUUUCUUCUAAAGCUAAAUACCGGCCAGAGACCGAUAGCGCACAAGUAGAGUGAUCGAAAGAUGAAAAGCACUUUGAAAAGAGGGUUAAAUAGCACGUGAAAUUGUUGAAAGGGAAGCGUUUGCGACCAGACCUUUUCCUAGCGGAUCAUCCGGUGUUUUCACCGGUGCACUUCACUAGGUUUAGGCCAGCAUCGGUUUCUGCGGGGGGAUAAAAGCUUAGGGAACGUGGCUCCUUCGGGAGUGUUAUAGCCCUUUGCAUAAUACCCUCGCGGGGACCGAGGACCGCGCUUUGCAAGGAUGCUGGCAUAAUGGUCGUCAACGACCCGUCUUGAAACACGGACCAAGGAGUCGAACAUUUGUGCGAGUGUUUGGGUGUUAAACCCUCACGCGUAAUGAAAGUGAACGGAGGUGAGAACCCUUUAGGGCGCAUCAUCGACCGAUCCUGAUGUCUUCGGAUGGAUUUGAGUAAGAGCAUAACUGUUCGGACCCGAAAGAUGGUGAACUAUGCGUGGAUAGGGUGAAGCCAGAGGAAACUCUGGUGGAGGCUCGCAGCGGUUCUGACGUGCAAAUCGAUCGUCAAAUCUGCGCAUGGGGGCGAAAG